This 1040-nucleotide long non-coding RNA is filed under the name Homo sapiens (human). Its description in RNAcentral is "HSALNT0177040". The record is from RNAcentral. Lineage: Eukaryota; Metazoa; Chordata; Mammalia; Primates; Hominidae.
GUUUUAUAUAUGGUGAUCCUUCUCAGCCAGGGGUGAUUUUGACCUAUGGGGGACUGAUAUGGUUUGGCUCUGUGUCCCUACCCAAAUCUCAUCUAGAAUUGUAAUCCCCAUGUUUACAGGGAGGGAGGCGAUUGGAUCACGGGGAUGGCUUCCCCCAUGCUCUUCUCAUGAUAGGGAAUUCUCACGAGAUCUGAUGGUUUUAAAACCUGCGCUCUUCUGCGCUCUCACUUCUCCCUCCUGCCGCCUUGUGAAGAAGGUGCCUGCUUCACCUUCCACCAUGAUUGUAAGUUUCCUGAGGCCUCCUCAGACAUGCAGAACUGUGAGUCAAUUAAACCUCUUUCCUUUUAUAAAGUACCCAGUCUCAGGAAGUUCCUUAUAGCAGUGUGAAAACGGACUAAUACAGGGACCCUUGCCAAUGUCUAGAGACAUUUUCAAUUGCCAUGACUUGGGAAAGGGGAGCGCUACUGGCAUCUAUCAGGUAGAGUAAGGGAGGCUGCUAAAUAUCCUACAAUGCACAGAAAAGUCCCCCACAACAGAUAUUAUUUGGCCCAAAAUGUCAGUGUUCUCAAGGUGGAGAACUGAUAGAGAGUACAGAUGGUGGUUCAUAUUUUAAGUCCACAAGUUACAGGAUAUCAAGAUGGAAUUGGGAUUGAACCAAAGAAGGUUGAAUAAUACCCAGAAAUGGGUGUGAUGACUGAGCUACUAUGUUCUCUUUUAAGGAGUGUGAUAUGGCUUGGAUCUGUGUCCCCACCGAAUCUCAUGUCGGAGGUGGGGCCUGGUGGAGGUGACUGGACCAGGUGGGUGAAGUUCUCAUGCAUGGGUUAGCGCCGUCCCCUCCAUGUUGUUCUCUUGUGAUAGUAAGUGAGUGAGAUCUGGUUGUUUAAAAGUGUGUAGCGCCUCUCCCUGCUCUCUCUUCCUCCUGCUCCAGUCCUGUGAAGAAGCCUGAUCCCACUUUGCCUUCCACCAUGAUUGUAAGUUCCCUGAGGCCUCCCCAGAAGCAGAUGCUGCCAUACUUCCUGUACAGCCUUCGGAAGCAUGAG